Non-coding RNA from Camelina sativa (false flax), 1619 nucleotides. The record is from RefSeq and is a predicted model, not a curated record. NCBI's taxonomy places the organism in Eukaryota, Viridiplantae, Streptophyta, Magnoliopsida, Brassicales, Brassicaceae.
UAAGCCCAAAUCAUAAAAUUUUAAGUCCAAUUGAUAUAAACUCCUCCCGUCCGUUCAAUUAUAUUCUCGAUCUUUACCUCUAAGCAGAAAUCGCUGUCGCUUUCGCUUCUGUUGCACUUUUCUUUGCGGUCGUUUUCUGAUACUCCCUCUCGAAGUUUCUCCAAUGUCCUACCGAUCUCCAAUUCUCCGGUUUACUUCUCGAGGGCGAUCACUUUGGUUUCACCGAUGACUACGUCCGUCGCUUUGGUUCAGCCGUAGCAGCAUCAGACUGAGAAUCUAACGGUGGUUGAUGAUGAGAAUCGUGGAGGCUUAUAGGAGAAACUUUCUAUUCACGUACGAGCUUAUUUCUUCUCCACUAGUGUUGAUUUGAGAAGCUUAAUUGAGCAGAACUUCAUCCCACCCACCUCGCAUAUGACUAACUAUGUUGUUCUUGAGAUUGGUAAUCAUUCUGAUCACAAUACGGAGGAUAUGGUGAACAGCAACGGAAUACUAACAGAUCAAUUGGUUGAUGAAGAACCAUCUUUUCACAAAUAUCUCGAAAGCAAAGAGUUUGCUGACAAGUAUCGAAGGUACGAAGAUGGGUUUAAGUAGUUUCUUGUGGAGAAGUACGUCUCUGGAGAUGAUAUGUAUGAGGAGAUAACAACAGUCGAUGGUGCAACCAUUUAUUGAUCGUCUUAUUUAAUGUACGGGAACCCGAGGUUGAUGAGUAUCUUAAAGUGGUGGAGAGGCAUGCUUCUGGUUUGCUUCCUGAAAUUAAAAAAGAUGAGUAUGAAGUAAGAGAGGAUCCAAAUCUAAACAAAUGGAUGGAGGGAGGACUGGAUGUUAUCAUGUUGCAGUUCUUGAAUAUUGAUGGGAUCAGAACCAUAGGCAGUGUUAUGGGGCUGAGCAUUGCUCUCGAUUACUAUGGCGGGCAGGAACAUUUACAAUGACUAGGAAAAAGCUGUUCCAGUUCGUUGGAAGGUCUACUUCUUAUCUGGCUGAUGUGAUUCUGAAGCUUGGUCUGUUUGAGAGGUAAAGAAGUCGAGAGAGGGAAGAAGAAUGGAUGCCCUGUCUUAGACAAAGCAUCCGCAACAAGGAUCUUUUUUAAGGCGCGGAGAACAAAGGCGUCUUUCAAUAUUCACAAGCAGGCACAAAAAUGGGAAGAAGAAAGAUGCCAAUGAGAAAUCGAACAAAGAAAAGUUCAAAUGUGUGUCAUUUCCGCCAGGGGCAGAUGCUAUUCUACAUGACUUAUUUACUCACUAUCCACCUUGUGACAGAGACACUGCUGCCACAUCAUUUAACAAGUACUCCGAGCACUCGGGUAAACAAGGACAAUGGAAAGAUGAUUUUUUCGGGAAACCAAAGAUUAGCAGUGAAGAGAUUCUAAAAAAGGUGGCGUCUUUGAGUUCUAGACUUAAGAAGGACAAAGCUCUUAAGGAGAAUACAGACUGAGAAGUUAUAAAUCAUGCCAAGUAGCAGCAAGUGAAAGGAAAUUGUUUUUGUUGAUUUAUGUUACAGAUCGCGAAGCUGCGGUCAAAGCUUCCCAUCACUUCCUUUAGAGACGCAAUUUGAAGGUUCUUUUUUUUUACACCAGAUGUUGGACAUGUAAAUUUAUGUUACGAAGCUAAUUAUUUUCCUUA